Molecule: non-coding RNA, 29 nt
Filed under: Cricetulus griseus (Chinese hamster)
Lineage: Eukaryota; Metazoa; Chordata; Mammalia; Rodentia; Cricetidae
Source: RNAcentral
GUAGCUUAUCAGAGGCGCUGACUCAAGGG